UGGGCCUAUAGCUCAGCAUGGAUAGAGUGUUGGACUUCUAAUCCAAUGGCCAAGGGAUCGAAGCCCUUUGGGCCCAUUUA
RNAcentral lists this transfer RNA (80 nucleotides) under Candidatus Nitrosopumilus salarius BD31. RNAcentral describes it as "Candidatus Nitrosopumilus salaria BD31 tRNA-Arg". It matches the Rfam family "tRNA". Rfam says of the family: Transfer RNA (tRNA) molecules are approximately 80 nucleotides in length. The record is from RNAcentral. Lineage: Archaea; Thermoproteati; Nitrososphaerota; Nitrososphaeria; Nitrosopumilales; Nitrosopumilaceae.